UUUCGCAAUGCCCGAAAGGGUGACGAAGCGACGCCGCGUGUGGGAAGAAGGCCUUCGGGUUGUAAACCGCUGUUGGGAGUUAGGAAGUGUGGGAGUGUUAAUAGCGCUUCCACUUGACUAAAGCUCCAGAGGAAGCCACGACUAACUCUGUGCCAGCAGCCGCGGUAAUACAGAGGCGGCAAGCGUUGUUCGGAAUUAUUGGGCGUAAAGAGCACGUAGGCGGCUCUGUAAGUCAGCUGUGAAAGCCUUCUGCUUAACGGAAGAACAGCAGUUGAAACUACAGGGCUUGAGUGCGGGAGGGGAGAGUGGAACUUCUGGUGGAGCGGUGAAAUGCGUAGAUAUCAGAAGGAACGCCGGCGGCGAAAGCGGCUCUCUGGUCCGUAACUGACGCUGAGUGUGCGAAAGCUAGGGGAGCAAACGGGAUUAGAUACCCCGGUAGUCCUAGCCGUAAACGAUGGGCACUAAGUAGAGGGGUUUU
RNAcentral lists this ribosomal RNA (478 nucleotides) under uncultured Planctomycetales bacterium. RNAcentral's name for it is "bacterial SSU rRNA". It matches the Rfam family "Bacterial small subunit ribosomal RNA", at positions 364 to 832 of the family's 1533-position model. Lineage: Bacteria; Pseudomonadati; Planctomycetota; Planctomycetia; Planctomycetales. The record is from RNAcentral. RNAcentral also lists the same sequence under 1 other name.